RNAcentral lists this non-coding RNA (774 nucleotides) under Euoniticellus intermedius. Lineage: Eukaryota; Metazoa; Arthropoda; Insecta; Coleoptera; Scarabaeidae. The record is from RNAcentral.
UAAAAAUUUGAUUUUAGUUUUUAUAUUUGAUUUAUAUUUUUAUUAUAUGUAAAUUUUUGUUAAUAAUUUUUUAAAUAGGAAAAUAAUAGCAAUAAUUAAAUUUAUACAAUAAAAGAAAUUUUGAUAUAGGGAUAUAUAAGAGUAUUAGUAAAAUUUGUGCCAGCAACUGCGGUUAUACAAAUAAUACAAUUAAAUAAAUAAUUUAAUAAUAAUAAAUAGUUAAAAUUUUAAUUUGAAAUUAAGUUUAUUAGGUGAAAUUAGAAAUUUAGAUUAGAUUAAUUAUAUUAAUUAUGAUGUUAUGAAAUUUUUAUAAUAAACUAGGAUUAGAUACCCUAUUAUAAAAAAUGUAAAGUUUAUGUUAGGGGAGUAUUAGUUAUGGUCUUGAAAUUUAAAAAAUUUGGCGGUAUUUUAGUCUUUUCAGAGGAACCUGUCCUUUAAUCGAUAAUCCACGAUUAAUUUUACUUAUCUUUCAAGUUUAUAUAUCGUCGUAAUUUGAAUAUCUUAUAAGAGUAAAAAUAUUCAGAAUUUAAAAUUAUAAAGAAAAUCAGAUCAAGGUAUAGCUUAUAGGUAAGGAGUGAUGGGUUACAAUAAAUUUAUUUAGAUGGUUAUAAUAUUUAAAAUUAUUAUAUAAAGUGGAUUUGAAAGUAAUAUAUUUUAUUUAAAAUAUAUGAUUUUAGCUCUAAAAUAUGCACAUAUCGCCCGUCACUUUCAUUGAAGUUAAAGUGAAAUAAGUCGUAACAAAGUAGGCUUACUGGAAAGUGUGCCUGGAUAGCA